RNAcentral lists this ribosomal RNA (274 nucleotides) under uncultured bacterium. Its description in RNAcentral is "partial 16S ribosomal RNA". It matches the Rfam family "Bacterial small subunit ribosomal RNA", at positions 523 to 796 of the family's 1533-position model. The record is from RNAcentral.
AUACGGAGGGCGCAAGCGUUGUUCGGAAUUAUUGGGCGUAAAGAGCAUGUAGGCGGACUGUUAAGUCUGGUGUGAAAGCCCGGGGCUCAACCCCGGAAGUGCAUUGGAUACUGGCAGUCUUGAGUAUGGGAGAGGAAAGUGGAAUUCCGAGUGUAGGAGUGAAAUCCGUAGAUAUUCGGAGGAACACCAGUGGCGAAGGCGGCUUUCUGGACCAAUACUGACGCUGAGAUGCGAAAGCGUGGGGAGCGAACAGGAUUAGAAACCCUGGUAGUCC